Molecule: microRNA precursor, 413 nt
Filed under: Brassica napus (rape)
Lineage: Eukaryota; Viridiplantae; Streptophyta; Magnoliopsida; Brassicales; Brassicaceae
Description: MIR824 microRNA precursor family
Rfam family: MIR824 microRNA precursor family
Source: Rfam by way of RNAcentral
CUCGAGUUGUCUCUCAUGUCUAGACCAUUUGUGAGAAGGGAUUUACUGUUUGCCCAAUCAACCUCACCAAUCUCUAAAUCUGCCAUUAGUAUUAUGCUCAUUUAAGAAAACUAGCAUCUAGAAAAUAGGUACAUAAAGUGCAUGAAUGACUUUUGCGGAUGCUGUACACAUAUUUUUUUUUAUAGAAUCAGUUCAUGCUGGUUCUCCAAAUCAUAUACAGUUUUGGACAUAUAUUUUUCCUAAGAGAUGUCAAACUUCUAUAUGGAUUGUUAGAAGGUCAUGAUAUCUUAGAAUUUGUAGCUUGCACUACUUAGCUACAUUAGUUCACUUGUUAAAAGUUGGGAAGUUGGGGAGGUGCUGGGUUAUUCCCUUCUCAUCGAUGGUCUAGAUGUGCAAGGUGACUCUCAUAGUGU